RNAcentral lists this ribosomal RNA (197 nucleotides) under uncultured bacterium. RNAcentral's name for it is "partial 16S ribosomal RNA". It matches the Rfam family "Bacterial small subunit ribosomal RNA", at positions 1302 to 1500 of the family's 1533-position model. The record is from RNAcentral.
AGGCUGAAAUUCGCCUUCAUGAAGCCGGAAUUGCUAGUAAUGGCAGGUCAGCAUACUGCCGUGAAUACGUUCCCGGGCCUUGUACACACCGCCCGUCACACCAUGAGAGUUGGGAAUACCCGAAGCCUGUGAGCUAACAUUACGAGGCAGCAGUCGAAGGUAGAAUCAAUGAUUGGGUGAAGUCGUAACAAGGUAAC